This 468-nucleotide ribosomal RNA is filed under the name uncultured bacterium. RNAcentral describes it as "partial 16S ribosomal RNA". It matches the Rfam family "Bacterial small subunit ribosomal RNA", at positions 28 to 507 of the family's 1533-position model. The record is from RNAcentral.
GACGAACGCUGGCGGCGUGCUUAACACAUGCAAGUCGAACGGAAAGGCCCUGCUUUUGUGGGGUGCUCGAGUGGCGAACGGGUGAGUAACACGUGAGUAACCUGCCCUUGACUUUGGGAUAACUUCAGGAAACUGGGGCUAAUACCGGAUAGGAGCUCCUGCUGCAUGGUGGGGGUUGGAAAGUUUCGGCGGUUGGGGAUGGACUCGCGGCUUAUCAGCUUGUUGGUGGGGUAGUGGCUUACCAAGGCUUUGACGGGUAGCCGGCCUGAGAGGGUGACCGGCCACAUUGGGACUGAGCUACGGCCCAGACUCCUACGGGAGGCAGCAGUGGGGAAUAUUGCACAAUGGGCUGAAGCCUGAUGCAGCAACGCCGCGUGCGGGAUGACGGCCUUCGGGUUGUAAACCGCUUUCGCCUGUGACGAAGCGUGAGUGACGGUAAUGGGUAAAGAAGCACCGGCUAACUACGUG